AACGAACGCUGGCGGCAUGCCUAACACAUGCAAGUCGAACGAGACCUUCGGGUCUAUUGGCGCACGGGUGCGUAACGCGUGGGAACCUGCCCUUAGGUUCGGAAUAACUCCCCGAAAGGGGUGCUAAUACCGGAUAAUGUCUUCGGACCAAAGAUUUAUCGCCUUUGGAUGGGCCCGCGUUGGAUUAGCUAGUUGGUAGGGUAAAAGCCUACCAAGGCGACGAUCCAUAGCUGGUCUGAGAGGAUGAUCAGCCACACUGGGACUGAGACACGGCCCAGACUCCUACGGGAGGCAGCAGUGGGGAAUAUUGGACAAUGGGCGAAAGCCUGAUCCAGCGAUGCCGCGUGAGUGAUGAAGGCCUUAGGGUUGUAAAGCUCUUUUACCCGGGAUGAUAAUGACGGUACCGGGAUAAUAAGCUCCGGCUAACUCCGUG
This 433-nucleotide ribosomal RNA is filed under the name uncultured bacterium. RNAcentral's name for it is "partial 16S ribosomal RNA". It matches the Rfam family "Bacterial small subunit ribosomal RNA", at positions 29 to 507 of the family's 1533-position model. The record is from RNAcentral.